UAAUACAAAUAUCUGAUUUUAGGGACUCAAAUUUUAAAAUUUUAAUUUUAUUUUAGAUUUAAUUUUUAAAUUUAAAUUUAAAUUUAAAUUUUUAUUUGAAUUUUUUUGAGAGAAAAGUAGCAUGCUACCCACAUCGUUUAUUUCUUUUAGAAAUAAACUUUGUGAAAAAUGUGAAUCGAUUAGAAUUCGAAUUUGAGAUCUCGGGUACCAACCACCAAAUUCUUUGACACUUACGCUAGGGACUAUCACUUAUAUAUAUUUGAAUCUUUUAAAUUUUAAGUCUUAAAUUUUAAAACUUUAAAAUUUUAAAUUUUAAAUUCUAAAUUUAGAUACUAAAUUUAAAUUUUUAAUUUUCAAAUAUCAAAUUUUAAGUUUCAAAAUUUGUAGUUUUAAAUUUAAAAUAAAUUUAAAAUUUAAAAAAUUUAAAAAUUUAAAAUUUAAAAUUUAAAAUUUAAAAUUUAAAAUAUAAAAUUCUAAAAUUUUAAAUUUUAAAUUUUAAAUUAUAAGUUUAAUUAUUAAAAUUCUAAGUUUUGAACUUUUAAUCGUUAAUUUCAAACUUUUAAUUCUAAGUAAAAAUGGGAUAUAUUAAUAAUUAUAUAUUGAUUAAUGACGAUAUAUAGCAAUAAGUGCUGCUACUUUAUUACAUUUAGCGGCGUUCACUAAUUUACGCUACUAAUUUCUCCUAUAUUGCAACAUUAAUAGUAAAUUACUGCUAAAUUAUUAAAUCUAGAGGCAAUUAUCAAAUAAUGCUGUAAAAUAUAUUUAUUAGUAUAAUUUAAAUUAAUGCUGCGGAGUAAAUGUCACCGCAUUUAGCAAUAAGCGCUACUAUUUUGUUACAUUUAGUAUUAUUUUUUAUAAAUUGCUGAAAACUUUAGCGAUUUUUACUAAUUUACGCUGCUAAUUUAUCCUAUUUUGCAACAUUAAUAGUAAAUUGCUGCUAAAUUAUUAAAUCUAGUGGCAAUUAUCUAGUAAUGUUGCUAAAUAUAUUAAUUAGCAUGAUUUAAAUAAAUGCUGCGAAGUAAAUGCCCCUAAAUCAUGAAUUUGUUGUAGUGAAGCUUUUUUGGGAGACUACUUUUUUAUACGUCCACAUAGUGGUGAAAAAUAACACUUUAAUAUUCUCAAUCUAAAUCAAACUAGCAUUUUCAAUCCUCUCUCUCUUUUAAAUUAUUUCGCUUCCAUUUUAACUUUUUUUUAAUUAAAAGA
Molecule: long non-coding RNA, 1203 nt
Filed under: Ananas comosus (pineapple)
Lineage: Eukaryota; Viridiplantae; Streptophyta; Magnoliopsida; Poales; Bromeliaceae
Description: long non-coding RNA (ACOM_LNC031563)
Source: RNAcentral